RNAcentral lists this ribosomal RNA (639 nucleotides) under uncultured bacterium. RNAcentral's name for it is "bacterial SSU rRNA". It matches the Rfam family "Bacterial small subunit ribosomal RNA", at positions 232 to 885 of the family's 1533-position model. The record is from RNAcentral.
CGCGGCCUAUCAGCUUGUUGGUGGGGUAACGGCCUACCAAGGCUAUGACGGGUAGCUGACGCGAGAGCGUGAGCAGCCACACUGGGACUGAGACACGGCCCAGACUCCUACGGGAGGCAGCAGUGGGGAAUAUUGCACAAUGGGCGCAAGCCUGAUGCAGCAACGCCGCGUGCGGGAUGAGGGCCCUAGGGUUGUAAACCGCUUUCAGCAGGGAAGAAAAUGACGGUACCUGCAGAAGAAGGUGCGGCCAACUACGUGCCAGCAGCCGCGGUGACACGUAGGCACCAAGCGUUGUCCGGAUUUAUUGGGCGUAAAGAGCUCGUAGGCGGUUCAGUAAGUCGGGUGUGAAAACUCUGGGCUCAACCCAGAGACGCCACCCGAUACUGCUGUGACUUGAGUACGGUAGGGGAGCGGGGAAUUCCUGGUGUAGCGGUGAAAUGCGCAGAUAUCAGGAGGAACACCAGUGGCGAAGGCGCCGCUCUGGGCCGUAACUGACGCUGAGGAGCGAAAGCGUGGGUAGCAAACAGGAUUAGAUACCCUGGUAGUCCACGCCGUAAACGUUGGGCACUAGGUGUGGGUCUCAACCAACGAGAUCCGCGCCGUCGCUAACGCAUUAAGUGCCCCGCCUGGGGAGUACGG